AUUUCUUGGUGUGGAGUCGGGCAUUCUCAGCAAGUAACUUUGCCUUCUAAAUACGGCUAUGUGUAAAGAAGCCUUCCCUCUUUUGGUUUCUAUAUGGGAGAGAAACUAGAGCUAGUUUAAAAUGACUAGUGGGUAAGAAAAUUAAAAUACAAGGCUGCGUGCUGUGGUGUUUGCCGCGCUCCCCCACUAGGAGGCAGUGCCAUCGCUGACCCACACCUGCACGCUGGGCGGCCUCUAAGGCCCCGUGCUCCAGGUGAAUGAGACGAGGGAUGGGAAGGGUCGGGGAGGAGCAGGGGCGGCACAGAGAAGCGGUUUCAUUCUCCAUUAACGUUGAGGAGCUUCUCCUAGGCCUUAGUUCUUGCAUCUGUAAAAUCAGCCCUGGGCUCGUUAGAACCUCCCGUGGAACUUGUUAAAAGCAGGCGGUGAGGCGCUGCCCCCAGCCAGAGAUUGCGCGGCUUCAGGCGUGGUGGGGCGGGGUCGCGGCUCAGGUGUGUCCGCUCGAGGUGCCCGUGGGGCUAAGUGUGCUCGCGGGCAGUUGCAUCCCCGCUGGGCUGGACGCCGCCGGACUAGCGUCUCUCCGGUGUUGUUUGCGUCUGAUAAUGUCUGUUGGCAUAUGGCAUGAAAUAUGAUAGACUUCUGCCUUUUGUGUCACCUACUCUGCUGCUUCAAGAUUUCAAAGAGUCCCAGGAACGUUUUGAAGUUGGCGCUUUUCCUCAUUAGACGCUGGAGGAAACAAACAGCCGGAUUCAAUUGUGAGGAAUAAACACUGCCUACUCCACACUCCGUGAGCGACUCGCGCUCGGGCCCCCUCUCAGUCUCCGGGACAGAAGCGCCCGGCGAAGCCUCAGUCCUCCCCACGCCGCCUCCUGCAUUGUUCUCGGCCUGCAGUGUUGUUUUUGGCCCCUGAGUUAAUGCUAUUGCUUCCUGACGGCUGAGUGUGUUUCCUCCUUUUCUCGGUUUUAAAUAGGAUCUUUUCCACGGGACAAGAAUGGGGCCUUUCAGCUGGGGUCUGAGGGGUUGGUGAGGUGGGGGUGACAGGAAAUGGGAAGGGUGGCUUGUGAGAACACCAUGUUGCAGGGCCCUUCAUUCUACAAAGAG
This is a long non-coding RNA of Bos taurus (domestic cattle), 1098 nucleotides long. The record is from Ensembl. Lineage: Eukaryota; Metazoa; Chordata; Mammalia; Artiodactyla; Bovidae.